This 84-nucleotide microRNA precursor is filed under the name Callithrix jacchus (white-tufted-ear marmoset). RNAcentral describes it as "mir-571 microRNA precursor family". It matches the Rfam family "mir-571 microRNA precursor family". Lineage: Eukaryota; Metazoa; Chordata; Mammalia; Primates; Cebidae. The record is from Rfam by way of RNAcentral.
AGUAAGACGAAGCUGCGUACCCUCUUUCUAUGUCUGUAGCCAUGUCUAUGGGCUCUGGAGUUGGCACGUGGGUGAGGGCCUGCU